GCAAGUCGAACGGCAGCACGGGUGCUUGCACCUGGUGGCGAGUGGCGAACGGGUGAGUAAUACAUCGGAACAUGUCCUGUAGUGGGGGAUAGCCCGGCGAAAGCCGGAUUAAUACCGCAUACGAUCUAUGGAUGAAAGCGGGGGACCUUCGGGCCUCGCGCUAUAGGGUUGGCCGAUGGCUGAUUAGCUAGUUGGUGGGGUAAAGGCCUACCAAGGCGACGAUCAGUAGCUGGUCUGAGAGGACGACCAGCCACACUGGGACUGAGACACGGCCCAGACUCCUACGGGAGGCAGCAGUGGGGAAUUUUGGACAAUGGGCGAAAGCCUGAUCCAGCAAUGCCGCGUGUGUGAAGAAGGCCUUCGGGUUGUAAAGCACUUUUGUCCGGAAAGAAAUCCUUGGUUCUAAUAUAGCCGGGGGAUGACGGUACCGGAAGAAUAAGCACCGGCUAACUACGUGCCAGCAGCCGCGGUAAUACGUAGGGUGCGAGCGUUAAUCGGAAUUACUGGGCGUAAAGCGUGCGCAGGCGGUUUGCUAAGACCGAUGUGAAAUCCCCGGGCUCAACCUGGGAACUGCAUUGGUGACUGGCAGGCUAGAGUAUGGCAGAGGGGGGUAGAAUUCCACGUGUAGCAGUGAAAUGCGUAGAGAUGUGGAGGAAUACCGAUGGCGAAGGCAGCCCCCUGGGCCAAUACUGACGCUCAUGCACGAAAGCGUGGGGAGCAAACA
Molecule: ribosomal RNA, 724 nt
Filed under: uncultured beta proteobacterium
Lineage: Bacteria; Pseudomonadati; Pseudomonadota; Betaproteobacteria
Description: bacterial SSU rRNA
Rfam family: Bacterial small subunit ribosomal RNA
Source: RNAcentral